AGGCUGCUCCCCUUCUCUUCUUAUGCAGCAUCAAAGCUCUCUGCAUUUGCUUGAACAGAUUUGCAUUUAGGUCAGGACUUACUUGAGAGAAAGUUGGGAUUUUUUCCUCCUGUCUUUUUCUUAACUCUGUAAGGAAGGGUAAUAGCACAAAGGCAGGUGGGAAAAAAGAAAUGUGUGCUAUAAAUAAACAGGUUUGGCACACAGGGAGGACAAAGUCAUUAGUAAGAGAAAAAAAUAACUGAUGUGGUAGCAAGCUACAUCUUCAGCUGAUGUAAAGCAGCCUCUCCCUAUGGAAGCAAUGGGACUGUGUCACUGUCAUCAGCUGAGCUGCUUGGUGGGUCUGCUCCUUUCUGCAGUGCCUAACCUGUCUGCAGCUGGCCCCUUCCACAGCAGCAGCAAAGGAGGAUGGACAACAACUCUGUGUUAUGAAUCUUCAUCUCCAUUCUUUGGCUCCUUGUAGCUGUCUGCCUGGGCUGCCUAAGUCUCUGCUGUGCUCUCUGGAUGCAAAGUGCCAAGAACAAGGUGGCUGUCACAUCCCAGAUGGCCAUUUUGACCUAUGCCAUAGCACUGCAGAACUGUUUGCCCAAUGCCACUGCCUCAUCUCCAGGAUGUAUUGGGAUGGGACACAAACCAGCUGUGAAGGACUCAUGCUGGGAUCAUGGGGACAGGAUGACCUUGUUGUGAGAGUGCUGCUAGCAACUGGGAGACCUGGGUAUAAGUGCUGGUUGCAUUUUAGCGUGUGUGCAUUGCAUUCAUCAGCUCUGUGUCUUUUGGAGCUUCCUUUGGAAAUGGUGAAACACUUCUUCCCACCACUGGUCUUGUUGACCAGUGCUUUUUUUUGUGUUGACCAGAACCUCAACUUUUUCAGAAAAAGUCUCAUGGUGACUUUCUGAAACUUUGCAUGCUGUCCCUUGGAAUAUUCUUAGAACUGUAAAGGUAUGAGUAGAGACUGGUAUUCUCAGCAGUAAGUAUUAACAGGACAGGUGAGAACUGGUGUUUGCAGUAUAGAAUUGGCAAACAUUAAGUUUAGUUGUUAAACUUAGACGCACGUACACUGGAGAGAAAUUCAGGGCUUUAUGAAUUGGGCUUGAAGUCAAAGGUUAAUAGUAAUUUCAUGCAAGAACAACUCACCUGAAUUCUGGGUGUGUCUGAUGCUCCGCAAUAGCUUUUGCAGCAUGCAGAAAUCACAGCCUUGGCAGGGCUGCCAGUGCAAGGCUCUGUAGAUGUGACAGAGGGGGCAGAUCCUGGGGCUUCUGUUCUCUUUCUGAUUCACAGUGAUACAAAUAAGCCCAGGGAAUGACUUGCUGAGAAUUACUAGAUAAUGCCUAGGUGGCAAGCUGGGAAGAGGCAUUUGAAAGAGGCAAGCUCAGCGCUUUUACCACGCAGAGUUACGGUAUUCUUCACAAAGAAGCUGCCUAGACUGGCCGGCUUCAUCUCUAACGAAGCCGUGUUAAUUUCACCCCGUUUUCCGCCUGCCCUUCCCUCUCGCCAAGGUUCGCGGCCCCAGCCUGCCCCCCGCUGGCCACCUGGAGGAUGGCAGGAGUCCCUGCAGCCGCGGUGGCAGCGGGGGACAGCGCAUGGCCCGAGGGCCACCUCCCUCCCUGGCUGGGCGUCAGGAGGGGCUGGCUCCCAGGACCACCGCUUCGGAGGGAUUGCAAAAACCCCGCGCUGCUCAAACCCCCAGCAGAUAAUGCCACAGGGAUGGCUGAAUGGCUGAACUGGGCUAUUCAAGUCAACUCCACCGCUGGACCCAACGUGUGCUUGUUGCUCUCAAGGGCCCCUUUUAUCCUCUUGACAUGACUUUUCUUUAAUUCUUUCUCUUGUGACAUUUGCUCUGAACUCCCACAGGUGAGAGUGUCAUGCCAAUGAUCUGCUGUCACCUCUGGCUGUUGGUGUUAGGCAGUGGCACCCCAGGGCUGAGAUCCUCUACUACUAUAACCCCAGCUUCAACAGAGCACAACCCUGGCUGUCAGGAAUGUGCAAGAGGAGAGGUGUCCUUACAGGAAGGGGCCUGGAUGCAUUAGAGAUGGGAGGAAAGGCCCCUUUAGAAGCCCAGAUGGUCGACCCAAGCCUCAUGGAGAGGCAGAAUGUAGGCUUCACACUGUUCUGAGGCAGAGCAGAAUGGAGUUGGAGGAAAUAGAUUUGAGUUGGUAUUAAACAACUGGAAGAAUAAAC
Parus major (Great Tit) is the source of this 2175-nucleotide long non-coding RNA. RefSeq lists it as uncharacterized. Lineage: Eukaryota; Metazoa; Chordata; Aves; Passeriformes; Paridae. The transcript is spliced from 2 exons. The record is from RefSeq and is a predicted model, not a curated record.